CGUCAGGCUGGAACUGGGGGCAUUUCGCACAUUACUCAUACGGGAACGCCCACGGGCACGAGGCUGAUCACAUUCACAAAGGACCAUGAUGAAAUCCCGUCAGUUACAAUUUACGACCCAGAGGUGAUUCACCACUUAUGGGCCAUGUUCCAAUCCCAUCCGAUGAAAAUGACUGCUACAGUCGAAUUCACUAGGCCAAAUAGCAACUUACCUUCCCGGAGCCAAUCAGCAAAAUUUAACAGGAAGAAGCACAGUUACAGUCCUUAACGCUAGUAAUCCAGGACCACACGUAAAAUACACUCUACUACACUAUAAUAUACUACUCCACUAUACUAUAGUAACUUAAACUUACUACCCACAGGCCACACUCAAAUAUACUCCAUUAUAUAGAAUACUAUAGUAUAGUACAUUUACUAUCCAGAGGCCACACUCAAAUAUACUCCACUACACUAUAUAUAAUAUAGUAUAGUUAAUUUACUGUCCAGAGGCCACACUCAAAUAUACUCCACUACAGAAAAUUGACACUGCAGGGGUCAGGGGUCAUACUCAAAUACACUAUAUCAUCAUACUAUAGUAAGUGUACUAUCUGGAACCACGGUCAAUACCCUCCACUAUAUUAUAGUAAAUCUCCACCACUCAAAUACACUCCACUAUACUGGGGACUCAGUGGGCCAUGCGCUAAUUGAACAUUAAUUAGUAAAUGUAUCCAAUUAAGACGACGUACACAAGACCACAUUACUUCUGCAUUUGCACUUUAUCCGUCUUCAUUCUGUCCGAGGCUUAAAGUUACAUCUUGAAUUUAAAUUUUUUUCUGUCAGUCAUGGCAAUUUUUAUUUAUUUAUUUAUUUAUUUAUUUAUUUAUUUUGGGGGGGGGGACGGGGGACGGACAAACACCACACUCAAAUCCACUCCACUGGGCCAAACCAAAACAUUCCUUGCUAGCUAGAUGCCGUCGUUCUUGAGGGUGAUGUGCGUCUGCGGAGAAGUUUACACGAUCUUAAAAUGGAAUCUUGAAAUGCAUACAUAAUAAGGGUGAGAGGAUUAAAUAAUCAUCCCGUGUCGCUGCUGUGGCAACAUCUGGAGAUGUGUCACGGGGAACACGUGUGCGAGUGGCUCAGAGGGAACGUUUAAUUACACGGCAUUAGUGUUUCUAUGAGGUUCCGGCCAGCUGAGCUUCUCUGGAAACAUCAUCAUCUCCAUUAGUCAUGUGAUGUACCAUCACAAUCCACACACACACACACGGCUGAAGGAGUAAAUUUCCAUAAUUCCACCUGGAUCAGGUCCUAACCAUCAAUUCGAAAGCCUCCAUUUGGUUUGGAU
Ictalurus punctatus (channel catfish) is the source of this 1320-nucleotide long non-coding RNA. The record is from Ensembl. NCBI's taxonomy places the organism in Eukaryota, Metazoa, Chordata, Actinopteri, Siluriformes, Ictaluridae.